GACGAACGCUGGCGGCGUGCUUAACACAUGCAAGUCGAACGGAAAGGCCCUGCUUUUGUGGGGUGCUCGAGUGGCGAACGGGUGUGUAACACGUGAGUAACCUGCCCUUGACUUUGGGAUAACUUCAGGAAACUGGGGCUAAUACCGGAUAGGAGCUCCUGCUGCAUGGUGGGGGUUGGAAAGUUUCGGCGGUUGGGGAUGGAAUCGCGGCUUAUCAGCUUGUUGGUGGGGUAGUGGCUUACAAAGGCUUUGACGGGUAGCCGGCCUGAGAGGGUGACCGGCCACAUUGGGACUGAGAUACGGCCCAGACUCCUACGGGAGGCAGCAGUGGGGAAUAUUGCACAAUGGGCGGAAGCCUGAGGCAGCGACGCCGCGUGCGGGAUGACGGCCUUCGGGUUGUAAACCGCUUUCGCCUGUGACGAAGCGUGAGUGACGGUAAUGGGUAAAGAAGCACCGGCUAACUACGUG
Molecule: ribosomal RNA, 468 nt
Filed under: uncultured bacterium
Lineage: Bacteria
Description: partial 16S ribosomal RNA
Rfam family: Bacterial small subunit ribosomal RNA
Source: RNAcentral